Molecule: ribosomal RNA, 253 nt
Filed under: uncultured bacterium
Lineage: Bacteria
Description: partial 16S ribosomal RNA
Rfam family: Bacterial small subunit ribosomal RNA
Source: RNAcentral
UACGUAGGGUGCAAGCGUUGUCCGGAAUUAUUGGGCGUAAAGAGCUCGUAGGCGGUCUGUCGCGUCGGCUGUGAAAACUCGGGGCUCAACUCCGAGCUUGCAGUCGAUACGGGCAGGCUAGAGUUCGGCAGGGGAGACUGGAAUUCCUGGUGUAGCGGUGAAAUGCGCAGAUAUCAGGAGGAAGACCGGUGGCGAAGGCGGGUCUCUGGGCCGAUACUGACGCUGAGGAGCGAAAGCGUGGGGAGCGAACAGG